RNAcentral lists this ribosomal RNA (254 nucleotides) under uncultured bacterium. RNAcentral's name for it is "partial 16S ribosomal RNA". It matches the Rfam family "Bacterial small subunit ribosomal RNA", at positions 524 to 776 of the family's 1533-position model. The record is from RNAcentral.
UACGUAGGGGGCAAGCGUUGUCCGGAAUCAUUGGGCGUAAAGCGCGUGUAGGCGGUUCGGUAAGUCUGCUGUGAAAGUCCAGGGCUCAACCCUGGGAUGCCGGUGGAUACUGUCGGGCUAGAGUACGGAAGAGGCGAGUGGAAUUCCCGGUGUAGCGGUGAAAUGCGCAGAUAUCGGGAGGAACACCAAUUGCGAAGGCAGCUCGCUGGGACGUCACUGACGCUGAGACGCGAAAAGCGUGGGGAGCGAGUCGG